Ictalurus punctatus (channel catfish) is the source of this 318-nucleotide long non-coding RNA. The record is from Ensembl. Lineage: Eukaryota; Metazoa; Chordata; Actinopteri; Siluriformes; Ictaluridae.
UGUGAAACUGAACAGCGGCCGAAUCAGACAGCGGAUCAAUGUGAAGACGUCGGACUCUGGCGGAUUCUCUUCAUCGUACUCGGAACAAUAAACUGUCUCGUCAUUGCUGUAGUCGCAGUCUCGAUCGUUACCUGCUGUGGAAAAACCAAAUCUCCAAACUGUGAUGUGAAGCUUCAAGAAGUCAGUGGAUCACAGAGUUGGUUGGCAAAAGCGCAUAAUGAAAGCAGCUACACUGUGGUGGAGUUUAUUCCAUUUCACCCUGUGGUGUAACACACACACACACACACACACACACACACACACACACACACACACACA